Molecule: ribosomal RNA, 617 nt
Filed under: uncultured bacterium
Lineage: Bacteria
Description: bacterial SSU rRNA
Rfam family: Bacterial small subunit ribosomal RNA
Source: RNAcentral
AGACGCGUGAGUAAUCUGCCCUCCGGUGGGGUAUAACCUCGGGAAACUGAGGAUAAUCCCGCAUACGACCUGCAUCCCGUGGGAUGCAGAUGAAAGGCUUUGGUCGCCGGAGGAGGAGCUCGCGUCCUAUCAGGUUGUUGGUGGGGUAAUGGCCCACCAAGCCGAUGACGGGUAGCUGGUCUGAGAGGAUGACCAGCCAGAGGGGGACUGAGAACGGCCCCCACUCCUACGGGAGGCAGCAGGCAGGGAAUCUUGGGCAAUGGGCGAAAGCCUGACCCAGCGACGUCGCGUGGGGGACGAAGGCCUUAGGGUUGUAAACCCCUUUUCCGAGGGAAGAUACAGGACGGUACCUCGGGAAUAAGCCCCGGCUAACUACGUGCCAGCAGCCGCGGGUAAUACGUAGGGGGCAAGCGUUACCCGGAAUCACUGGGCGUAAAGUGCGCGUAGGCGGUUGGAUAAUUCUCUUGUGAAAUCCUCUGGCUCAAACCAAGAGAACUGCAGCCGAAACUGCACACCCUUGAGUCCAGGCAGAGGAAUCGGAAUCCCAGGUGUAGCGGUGAAAUGCGUAGAUAUCUGGGAGAACAUCAAUGGGCGAAGGCGGAUUCCUGGGCUGGGUA